RNAcentral lists this unclassified non-coding RNA (328 nucleotides) under soil metagenome. RNAcentral describes it as "partial contains 5.8S ribosomal RNA, internal transcribed spacer 2, and large subunit ribosomal RNA". The stretch from base 1 to 120 matches the Rfam family "5.8S ribosomal RNA", at positions 35 to 154 of the family's 154-position model. The record is from RNAcentral.
GAUGAAGAACGCAGCGAAAUGCGAUAAGUAAUGUGAAUUGCAGAAUUCAGUGAAUCAUCGAAUCUUUGAACGCACAUUGCGCUCCCUGGUAUUCCGGGGAGCAUGCCUGUUCGAGCGUCAUUACAACCCUCAAGCUCUGCUUGGUGUUGGGCCCCGCCGCCCCGGCGGGCCCUAAAGUCAGUGGCGGUGCCGUCCGGCUCCGAGCGUAGUAAUUUUUCUCGCUUUGGAGGCCCGGCCGGCGCUUGCCGACACAUCAAUCUUUUUUCCAGGUUGACCUCGGAUCAGGUAGGGAUACCCGCUGAACUUAAGCAUAUCAAUAAGCGGAGGA